AUUGAACGCUGGCGGCAGGCCUAACACAUGCAAGUCGAACGAGUGGCGGACGGGUGAGUAAUGUCUGGGAAACUGCCUGAUGGAGGGGGAUAACUACUGGAAACGGUAGCUAAUCCCGCAUACCAUCGGAUGUUCCCAGAUGGGAUGAGCUAGUAGGUGGGGUAAAGGCUCACCUAGGCGACGAUCCCUAGCUGGUCUGAGAGGAUGACCAGCCACACUGGAACUGAGACACGGUCCAGACUCCUACGGGAGGCAGCAGUGGGGAAUAUUGCGCAAUGGGCGCAAGCCUGAUGCAGCAAUGCCGCGUGUAUGAAGAAGGCCUUCGGGUUGUAAAGCACUUUCAGCAGGGAGGCGGUACCCGAAGAAAAAGCACCGGCUAACUCCGUGCCAGCAGCCGCGGUAAUUC
Molecule: ribosomal RNA, 406 nt
Filed under: uncultured bacterium
Lineage: Bacteria
Description: partial 16S ribosomal RNA
Rfam family: Bacterial small subunit ribosomal RNA
Source: RNAcentral